UAGGUACUUAAAUGUUGCAAUCACACUCCACAUUUAUCCUCUCCAUAACUAAACGCUAAAUUUAUUCCUUCUUAUCCUAGACGUGCUCUCUGCCGCUGAAUAAUGCUGAAAAAGAGUCAAAAUGCAGCUUGUAGAACGUAAAAUCUCGUGUCUCAAUGUAUGCACUAUCAUUACAUUCAACUCACAAAAGUAUUGCAAUGUUGGGCCCGUGCUUGCACGGGCAACUCUUACCUAGCCUUAUAUGGAAGAGAGAGUUUAAAGUUCUUUAACAUGUGUGCUCUUUGUCAUUCAAUUAUUUUAUAAGGGUAUUUUGAUCAUUUCACCUUAUCUAAGUGAUGAAUUUUUCUUUGAAUUCUCCUAUUUUCUAUACGUGUCUUUUUAUCAGGAAUUUUCUCAAGCAACACAAAGUUUUCUAAUUCAGCUUUAAUACCUAAAACUUUUGCUCUUCCAUUGUUGUAUGUAGAAAAUUUCUGUUGCAGCUACUCUGUGUGCGCUGGUGUUAUUCUGCAGGUCAUCGGAAUGUCAACUAAAGAAUUCUACUGGAGAAUUCAGCGUUUCUACAGUUUUCAACCCAAAAUGACGAGUUGCUUUCAUUCCUAAUGCACACAAUAUCCGAGAAGAAAACUGCGCGUUGGAAGUGCAGACCCUUCUCAAGAAUAAAGCCCAUAAAUCAGUGAGUGACAUUUUUCAAUCUCUAAGUAAUUGCAAUUUCACAUUAUCUGAAGAUUUUAUUCUAAACGUGCUUAAACGACACCGUUCUGAUUGGAAACCAGCUUUUAUCUUCUUCAAAUGGAUAUUAGCAGGUGAAAAUCCAUGUAGGUAUUCACCAAAUAUUAAAUCUUUCAAUGAAUUCUCGAUAUUCUUGGUUGUAUGAGACGUUUGAUGAACUCAACCAAGUGCUUGACGAAAUGUCUAAGAGAGGAAAUUUGGUUAAUGAAAAAACUUAUGGUAUUUGAUUAAUAGAUAUGUUGCAGCUCGUAGAGUUGAAGAUGCAAAAGAGUUUUUCUAUAAGAGGAAAAUUUUUGAUUUGGAACUUGAUGAAUUGUGUUUCAAGAAGAGGAUUCCCGAAGCUCUUGAGAAAAAUCUGAAAUUUGAAAAGGGAGAAGGGAUAAAGAAGAAUAAAUAGCUAAAGAAUAGAGAGAGAAAAAUUCUUAAAAUAAGCCAAAUAUUAAAGAAAAAAUAGAUUUUUUACAUAUAUUGUCGUUGUCUUUAUGAUGUGGCAAAAAAUCGCUGUCUCACGCGCCUUGUAGAGUUUAAUUUCAGUUUCUAUGCCAGGUGGACAGAAAAGGCGUACGUGUUCGAUAAAUAAGCAAGUUCAGGGGUAAUUGAAACAAAAUAAAGUUUAGGUGUACACUGAAUAAUAAGCUUCAAGUUUAGGGGAUAAUGAAUACUUUUGCCCACAAGAAAUUGUUUCUUUGUACAGGUAGGUGCAUCUCCAAUGCCACACAAGUGGCAGAGCAAGCCGGUUGAUUUUCUUAAUCUUUCAAAAUACCUUUCCAACGGCUGGACAUAUUUCUUUUGCUCCCUAAGUGCUUCGCUUGUAUGCUAAUUCUUUAUUUCCUUUUUGAUAACACUUAGCUGAUUUAUAUACUAUAACAUUGGUUAACUAGACUGCUAUGCAACUGUUGUACCUCUUGAGCUUUUCUUUUUUUCUAAUUUCCAGUGCAAUUUCUUGCUUACUCUUGCUGCUACUCUACAUUACCACUUGAUGCUACACAAAAAGUUAAUUGCAUGUACACUUGAAUCUUAUGUAGGAAGAUGUUGAAAAAUUAUUAGCACUUAAAUUAGUGAGAUGUAUUCAUCUUUCUUUUCUUUUUUGGUUGGAGUUUCUCUAUUACGGACACUUCAUUGUGUUAUUCUGCUUUUAUUGUAAGUUUUUGUGUUAUGUGCUUAACCAAAAAAUUGUGAAGGAAGAGAAAGGAAUAUUUUUAGCUAGGCUCAAGUCAUGUUUCACAAAUAUUGGACAGCCUCUUAUUUAAGUUAUUUUAACUAUCUUCUUAUGAUUUUAGAACUGCUAAAGUCAUACUAUCCGUUUGGCAACAGUAGAAGGGCCAAUUCUCAAUUGGCAACAUGUUGGAUUCCAAUCCAAAUCCUACAAGAAAUUGAUGGCAAUAGCUUUAUGCAGAGCUUUCCAUCAUAUUUUUUUAGCUUUAUAUCCUGUUUCAGGAUCGAUUGAUGUGUUGGUAGUUAUAAUAUAUGGAUAGUAAUUGCAACAAUAAAGUACUUGACUUCAUUUCAUCACGUGAUCAUGAGAUAUCCUUUAUAUUAUUUGUUACUAUUUUAUUUGAUAAAAUUUUAUUGUGUAAAACACAAUGCGCAAGAGGCCAUCAGGUUGAUAGAGCUUUGGUUGAUCAUGAUGCUGGGGAGCAACAAACUGAAAUUAAUGAGAAGACUUCUACACGAAUUUUCUCUGAAAAAAGCAGGGCACGCUUACUGAUGUUAGUUCUGCUUUUCACACGAUUGGUGUGCUGUGAUUUCAAAAAAACAUGUUAUAAGUUGUAAAAUUGCAAGUGGUGAUUUCAGAGACGAACACGUAUUUGUAUCAAGAAUACCAUUACUAUCAUCAGAGGAUGAAAAAAAUACCUGUUUCCUCUUUUAAAAGAACACAGUUUUCUAUACGUCUAUGCUUUGCAAUGACUAUAAAUAAAGCACAGGAACAAACAUUAGAUUACGUUAAGAUUUCGUUUGAUUACUCAAUCCUCUCUUCUGUCCCAUUUGAACAUGUGCUUAAGGAUCUUAACCAUUACUGAAAAUUGAUUACUGAGAUCCUCAAUAGCUUAGUGAUUCUGAUAUUGUGUUGAGCCCGUGCUGGCACAUGCUAUACUUUCUAGUCUUAUGUAGAAGAGGGAGUUUUAACAUGUGUGUUGUUUGUCUUUUUAAAAUGAAAUACAAGGAUAUUUUAGUCAUUUACAUUUA
Non-coding RNA from Solanum lycopersicum (tomato), 2916 nucleotides. Lineage: Eukaryota; Viridiplantae; Streptophyta; Magnoliopsida; Solanales; Solanaceae. The record is from RefSeq and is a predicted model, not a curated record.